CCUACGGGUGGCAGCAGUGGGGAAUAUUGCACAAUGGGCGAAAGCCUGAUGCAGCAACGCCGCGUGAAGGAAGACGGUUUUCGGAUUUUAAACUUCUAUCAAUAGGGAAGAAAGAAAUGACGGUACCUAUAUAAGAAGCCCCGGCUAACUACGGGCCAGCAGCCGCGGGAAUACGUCGGGGGCAAGCGUUAUCCGGAUUUACUGGUUGUAAAGGGAGCGUAGACGGUGAUGCAAGUCAGAAGUGAAAGCCCGGGGCUCAACUCCGGGACUGCUUUUGAGACUGUGUGACUGGAGUGCAGGAGAGGUAAGCGGAAUUCCUGGUGUAGCGGUGAAAUGCGUAGAUAUCAGGAGGAACACCAGUGGCGAAGGCGGCUUACUGGACUGUAACUGACGUUGAGGCUCGAAAGCGUGGGGAGCAAACAGGAUUAGAUACCCCUGUAGUC
RNAcentral lists this ribosomal RNA (443 nucleotides) under uncultured bacterium. Its description in RNAcentral is "partial 16S ribosomal RNA". It matches the Rfam family "Bacterial small subunit ribosomal RNA", at positions 338 to 795 of the family's 1533-position model. The record is from RNAcentral.